UACGUAGGGUGCAAGCAUUAAUCGGAUUUAUUGGGCGUAAAGAGGGCGUAGGCGGCAGAUUAAGUCGGAUGUGAAAGACCGGAGCUCAACUCCGGACCCGCAUUCGAAACUGAUUUACUAGAGGGUAGGCGGAGAAAACGGAACUCCACAUGUAGCGGUGAAAUGCGUAGAUAUGUGGAAGAACACCUGUGGCGAAAGCGGUUUUCUAGCUUAUACCUGACGCUGAGGCCCGAAAGCUAGGGGAGCAAACAGG
Molecule: ribosomal RNA, 253 nt
Filed under: uncultured bacterium
Lineage: Bacteria
Description: partial 16S ribosomal RNA
Rfam family: Bacterial small subunit ribosomal RNA
Source: RNAcentral